CUUCAUUAGGAUAGUUGAGCUCCUGAGACAGCUCUUCUGUUGAGGCUGCCUCUUCCCAGGGUCUCAUGUAACCCUAUGGAGCUGAAGAUGACCUUGAACUUCUGGGCCUCCUGCCUAUACCUAGAAUUACUAGUGUAUGCUACAAUGCUUUUAUGUGGUACUGGAGGCUGAACUAGACAAGCACUCUAUCAACUGAGCUACAGCCCCAGCCUGGAGGACAAUAUCUUAUAAGCCGUUUCUUGAUCAGGACACCAUCUCUUUGCCACUGCUGAGGAAGACGUGAGCAGCAGCCCGAUCAGGAGACCGUGUCAUCUUAAGCACUACAGCGCAGGCAUAGCCACUGAGCUAAGGCCUCUCACGUGCUUAGCUGCUUCAGCACACGGCAUGGACCAGGUGCAGAGCUUCCACAGUUGCCGGGUCUGCUGACAGCCUGGCUGUGCUAAGAGGAAGGAGCAUGAUGCUGGACCUGAGGGACACUGGUAAAUCGU
This 488-nucleotide long non-coding RNA is filed under the name Cricetulus griseus (Chinese hamster). RNAcentral's name for it is "lncRNA (ENSCGRG00015043305.1)". The record is from RNAcentral. Lineage: Eukaryota; Metazoa; Chordata; Mammalia; Rodentia; Cricetidae.